This is a ribosomal RNA of Cercocebus atys (sooty mangabey), 98 nucleotides long. The record is from Ensembl. NCBI's taxonomy places the organism in Eukaryota, Metazoa, Chordata, Mammalia, Primates, Cercopithecidae.
GUCUACAUCCAUACCACUCUGAUCUUGACAGCCAAGCAGGGUCAAACCUGGAUAGUACUUGGAUGGGAGACUGCCUGGGAAACUGGGUGUUGUAGGCU